CGCACAUUGCGCCCUCUGGUAUUCCGGAGGGCAUGCCUGUUCGAGCGUCAUUUCAACCCUCAAGCCUGGCUUGGUGAUGGGGCACUGCUUUCGUCCUGAAAGCAGGCCCUGAAAUCUAGUGGCGAGCUCGCCAGGACCCCGAGCGUAGUAGUUAUAUCUCGCUCUGGAAGGCCCUGGCGGUGCCCUGCCGUUAAACCCCCAACUUCUGAAAAUUUGACCUCGGAUCAGGUAGGAAUACCCGCUGAACUUAA
Molecule: unclassified non-coding RNA, 251 nt
Filed under: Diaporthe kochmanii
Lineage: Eukaryota; Fungi; Ascomycota; Sordariomycetes; Diaporthales; Diaporthaceae
Description: partial contains 5.8S ribosomal RNA, internal transcribed spacer 2, and large subunit ribosomal RNA
Source: RNAcentral